Molecule: ribosomal RNA, 334 nt
Filed under: uncultured eukaryote
Lineage: Eukaryota
Description: partial 18S ribosomal RNA
Rfam family: Eukaryotic small subunit ribosomal RNA
Source: RNAcentral
CCCUUAGAUGUCCGGGGCUGCACGCGCGCUACACUGACUGGCUCAGCGUGUGCCUACCCUACGCCGGCAGGCGCGGGUAACCCGUUGAACCCCAUUCGUGAUGGGGAUCGGGGAUUGCAAUUAUUCCCCAUGAACGAGGAAUUCCCAGUAAGUGCGGGUCAUAAGCUUGCGUUGAUUAAGUCCCUGCCCUUUGUACACACCGCCCGUCGCUACUACCGAUUGGAUGGUUUAGUGAGGCCCUCGGAUCGGCCCCGCCGGGGUCGGCCCACGGCCCUGGCGGAGCGCUGAGAAGACGGCCGAACUUGACUAUCUAGAGGAAGUAAAAGUCGUAACA